RNAcentral lists this ribosomal RNA (422 nucleotides) under uncultured eukaryote. RNAcentral describes it as "bacterial SSU rRNA". It matches the Rfam family "Eukaryotic small subunit ribosomal RNA", at positions 592 to 1013 of the family's 1831-position model. The record is from RNAcentral.
CAAUAGCGUAUAUUAAAGUUGUUGCGGUUAAAAAGCUCGUAGUUGGAUUUCUGCCGAGGACGACCGGUCCGCCCUCUGGGUGAGCAUCUGGCUCGGCCUGGGCAUCUUCUUGGAGAACGUAUCUGCACUUGACUGUGUGGUGCGGUAUCCAGGACUUUUACUUUGAGGAAAUUAGAGUGUUUCAAGCAGGCAUGCGCCUUGAAUACAUUAGCAUGGAAUAAUAAGAUAGGACCUCGGUUCUAUUUUGUUGGUUUCUAGAGCUUAGGUAAUGAUUAAAAAGGGGCAGUCAGGGGGCACUCGUAUUCCGUCGAGAGAGGUGAAAUUCUCAGACCAAUGGAAGACGAACCACUGCGAAAAGCAUUUGCCAGGGGAUGUUUUUCACUGAUCAAGAACGAAAGUUAGGGGAUCAAAGAUGAUCAGAU